Molecule: ribosomal RNA, 331 nt
Filed under: uncultured bacterium
Lineage: Bacteria
Description: partial 16S ribosomal RNA
Rfam family: Bacterial small subunit ribosomal RNA
Source: RNAcentral
AAAAAAAAAAACACGUGGAUAACCUACCUAUAAGACUGGGAUAACUUCGGGAAACCGGAGCUAAUACCGGAUAAUAUAUUGAACCGCAUGGUUCAAUAGUGAAAGACGGUUUUGCUGUCACUUAUAGAUGGAUCCGCGCCGCAUUAGCUAGUUGGUAAGGUAACGGCUUACCAAGGCAACGAUGCGUAGCCGACCUGAGAGUGUGAUCGGCCACACUGGAACUGAGACACGGUACAGACUACUAAGGGAGGAAGCAGUAGGGAAGUUUCCGCAAUGGGCGAAAUCCUGACGGAGCAACGCCGCGUGAGUGAUGAAGGUCUUUUUUUUGUUA